UACGUAGGGGGCAAGCGUUGUCCGGAAUCAUUGGGCGUAAAGAGCGUGUAGGCGGCCCGGUAAGUCCGCUGUGAAAGUCCAGGGCUCAACCCUGGGAUGCCGGUGGAUACUGUCGGGCUCGAGUCCGGAAGAGGAGUGUGGAAUUCCUGGUGUAGCGGUGAAAUGCGCAGAUAUCAGGAGGAACACCAAUGGCGAAGGCAGCACUCUGGGACGCGUCUGACGCUGAGACGCGAAAGCGUGGGGAGCAAACAGG
Molecule: ribosomal RNA, 253 nt
Filed under: uncultured bacterium
Lineage: Bacteria
Description: partial 16S ribosomal RNA
Rfam family: Bacterial small subunit ribosomal RNA
Source: RNAcentral